This 250-nucleotide ribosomal RNA is filed under the name uncultured bacterium. RNAcentral's name for it is "partial 16S ribosomal RNA". It matches the Rfam family "Bacterial small subunit ribosomal RNA", at positions 524 to 773 of the family's 1533-position model. The record is from RNAcentral.
UACGGAGGGUGCGAGCGUUGUCCGGAAUCACUGGGCGUAAAGGGCGCGUAGGCGGCGGUGGCAGUCAACGGUGAAAGCUCGGGGCUCAACCCUGAGUCGGCCGUCGAUACUCCAUCGCUCGAGCACUGUAGAGGCAGGUGGAAUUCCGGGUGUAGCGGUGGAAUGCGUAGAGAUCCGGAAGAACACCGGUGGCGAAGGCGGCCUGCUGGGCAGUAGCUGACGCUGAGGCGCGACAGCGUGGGGAGCAAAC